AGCAGCCGCGGUAAUUCCAGCUCCAAUAGCGUAUAUUAAAGUUGUUGCAGUUAAAAAGCCCGUAGUUGAAUUUCGGGAUCAGUACGCUGGUCAUGCCUUUGGUAUGCACUGGUGUCACUGGUUUCUCCCUUCUGAAGAACCGUGAUGUCAUUAAUUUGGUGUCGCGGGGAAUCAGGACUGUUACUUUGAAAAAAUUAGAGUGUUUAAAGCAGGCUCACGCUUGAAUACAUUAGCAUGGAAUAAUGAAAUAGGACGUUUGACCCUAUUUUGUUGGUUUCUAGGAUCGACGUAAUGAUUAAUAGGGAUAGUUGGGGGCAUUAGUAUUCAAUUGUCAGAGGUGAAAUUCUUGGAUUUAUUGAAGACUAACUACUGCGAAAGCAUUUGCCAAGGAUGUUUUCAUUAAUCAAGAACGAAAGUUAGGGGAUCGAAGACGAUCAGAUACCGUCGUAGUCUUAACCAUAAACUAUGCCGACUAGGGAUCGGAUGAUGUUAAUUUUAUAAUGACUC
This 507-nucleotide ribosomal RNA is filed under the name uncultured Glomeromycotina. RNAcentral describes it as "SSU rRNA". It matches the Rfam family "Eukaryotic small subunit ribosomal RNA", at positions 569 to 1077 of the family's 1831-position model. The record is from RNAcentral. Lineage: Eukaryota; Fungi; Glomeromycota.